GGGAGAAGUGAUGAGAUUAUAUCCACACGAGAUAUCUGCAUCCAUUGUGAUGAUCACUUCAUGCACUACCAUCUGAUCUCUC
This is a small nucleolar RNA of Panicum hallii, 82 nucleotides long. The record is from RefSeq and is a predicted model, not a curated record. Lineage: Eukaryota; Viridiplantae; Streptophyta; Magnoliopsida; Poales; Poaceae.